CCUACGGGCGGCUGCAGUGGGGAAUAUUGGACAAUGGGGGCAACCCUGAUCCAGCCAUGCCGCGUGUGUGAAGAAGGCCCUCGGGUUGUAAAGCACUUUCAGUGAGGAAGAACGCCUGGUGGUUAAUACCCAUCAGGAAAGACGUCACUCACAGAAGAAGCACCGGCUAACUCCGUGCCAGCAGCCGCGGUAAUACGGAGGGUGCGAGCGUUAAUCGGAAUUACUGGGCGUAAAGCGCGCGUAGGUGGCUUGAUAAGCCGGUUGUGAAAGCCCCGGGCUCAACCUGGGAACGGCAUCCGGAACUGUCAAGCUAGAGUGCAGGAGAGGAAGGUAGAAUUCCCGGUGUAGCGGUGAAAUGCGUAGAGAUCGGGAGGAAUACCAGUGGCGAAGGCGGCCUUCUGGACUGACACUGACACUGAGGUGCGAAAGCGUGGGUAGCAAACAGGAUUAGAUACCCUAGUAGUC
Molecule: ribosomal RNA, 465 nt
Filed under: Vreelandella stevensii
Lineage: Bacteria; Pseudomonadati; Pseudomonadota; Gammaproteobacteria; Oceanospirillales; Halomonadaceae
Description: partial 16S ribosomal RNA
Rfam family: Bacterial small subunit ribosomal RNA
Source: RNAcentral